This 207-nucleotide ribosomal RNA is filed under the name uncultured bacterium. RNAcentral describes it as "partial 16S ribosomal RNA". It matches the Rfam family "Bacterial small subunit ribosomal RNA", at positions 568 to 774 of the family's 1533-position model. The record is from RNAcentral.
UGCGUAGGCGGUCGUGCAAGUCGGAUGUGAAAUCUCAGGGCUCAACCCUGAAACUGCAUUCGAUACUGCGCGGCUAGAGUGCUGGAGGGGAGACUGGAAUUUACGGUGUAGCAGUGAAAUGCGUAGAUAUCGUAAGGAAGACCAGUGGCGAAGGCGAGUCUCUGGACAGCAACUGACGCUGAGGCACGAAGGCCAGGGGAGCAAACG